GACGAACGCUGGCGGCGCGCUUAACACAUGCAAGUCGAACGGAAAGGCCUGCUUUCCCUUGUGGAUUGCGGGUACUCGAGUGGCGAACGGGUGAGUAACACGUGAGUGAUCUGCCCCCAACUUGGGUAUAAGCCUGGGAAACUGGGUCUAAUUCCCGAUAGGACUGCAGGGUGGUGCCUGUGGUGGAAAACGAUUUUCUAGUGGUUGGGGAUGAGCUCGCGGCCUAUCAGCUUGUUGGUGGGGUAAUGGCCUAUCAAGGCGGCGACGGGUAGCCGGCCUGAGAGGGUGGACGGCCACAUUGGGACUGAGAUACGGCCCAGACUCCUACGGGAGGCAGCAGUGGGGAAUAUGGCACAAUGGGCGGAAGCCUGAUGCAGCGACGCCGCGUGGGGGAUGACGGCCUUCGGGUUGUAAACUCCUUUCGACCGCGAGGAAGCCACCUGGUUGGAAGGGUGGUGACGGUAGUGGUAGAAGAAGCACCGGCUAACUACGUG
Molecule: ribosomal RNA, 494 nt
Filed under: uncultured bacterium
Lineage: Bacteria
Description: partial 16S ribosomal RNA
Rfam family: Bacterial small subunit ribosomal RNA
Source: RNAcentral